RNAcentral lists this long non-coding RNA (10739 nucleotides) under Theobroma cacao (cacao). RNAcentral describes it as "long non-coding RNA (TCAC_LNC005761)". Lineage: Eukaryota; Viridiplantae; Streptophyta; Magnoliopsida; Malvales; Malvaceae. The record is from RNAcentral.
CUCACUAAUUGAGGAAAACGCAAGCGUUUUGAACGACAUUGAUACAGAGUCUUUUGCUGAGACUCCAUUACAUGUAGCGGCUUCUGCAGGGCAAAUUGCUUUUGCCGUAGAGAUGAUGAAUUUAAAGCCGUCGUUUGCAAGGACGCUGAACCAAGCUGGGUUUAGCCCCAUUCACUUAGCUUUACAAAACAAAAAAACCCUUUUUGUACAUCGACUCCUAGAGAUGGAUAAAGAUCUCGUUCGAGUCAAAGGGAGGGAGGGUAAGACUCCUUUUCAUUACGCUGCUGAACUAGGAGAGCCGGAAGAACUUUUGAACGAUUUUCUUGAAGCUUGCCCCGAAUGCAUUGAAGAUGUAACUGUUCAUGGUGAAACUGCUCUGCACAUCGCGUUAAAAUGUAACAAGCUUAAAGAGUUUAAAUCCUUGGUGCGAUGGAUACGAGGAAGCUGUCAUAAAGAUGCCAAACUGUGGGAAGAACGAAUCCUCAACUGGAAGGACGAGCAAGGCAACACUGUUCUGCACAUUGCAGCCUUGGAAAACCAACCAGAGGUUUGCUUUUCCAUUUAUCAGACUCCCAAUUGACUUGUAAUCAAAUUAAAAAACUAACUAGUUAUUAGUACAUCUUCUAUGAUUUGCACAGGCAGUAAGACUGCUGGUAAAGUGUCGUGACGUAGUUGAUGUGAACGCCAAGAAUUCGGAAAAUUUGACAGCACUGGAAUAUAUCUCAAAAUGCGAUGAAAACGAUGAAAGCACUGAAAACCAAAGGCCAGUGCCAAAUAGAUCAGAGAUUACUAAAAUCUUGCGAGCUGCUACACCUCGAAUGCAUCCCUUCAUGGCAAUCCUCGAUUUCGACGAGGAGUUAAUGUUACCUUAUGUUAAAAGGGUAAUCACACAUAUUGCUCGGAGAAGGGAGAACAUUUCAAAUGGCAUGCGCAACGCAUUGCUGGUAGUCAUUACGCUGGUUAUAACAGCCACUUACCAAUCCUCUUUAAGUCCACCUGGUGGUGUUUGGCAGGGAGAUAACAGUAAUACUUCAUCUAAAUCAAACUAUGCUAGCAUAAAUACCAGUAAUAGUAGCACCCUUGCCGGAGAACCGCAUGGUCCGGGGACAACCGUAAUGCAAAAAAAUACUUUUGUUGUGUUCUGGACUUACAACACAUUAACCCUAUUGACAACCCUUGGGCUAACAGCAUUUCUCCUCCCAGGUGGUUCUAUUGCUUUACUACUGCUCGUGCCACUUUCACUUUUGUGCUCGAGCUACAUGCUCUCCAUGAGCAUCUUAUCCCCGACUCCUUUUUGGUCAAAAGUGAAUACAAUUCUGUCAAUAGUCUUUAUUAUGUUGCUGUUAUUGCCGUAUCCUAGAUUGUUUAACGAGAGACGGCGAGCCCAAAUGAAGAGUGAAUUAUCUCCACGUGCGGUGCUAAAGUCGAAGAAAUUUUAUAUCAAAAUAUUCUUUUUUUUGGUUGCUGCAUUGUGCUUUACUGUAAUCAUGCUGCAAAAUUGGUUACAUUCGUAGAUUAGAAGUAUUUAGGACCCCAACCCUUUCUGAAGUCUAAUCUUAGCGUUGUGUUGUUUCUUAUCUAUUUAAUAAAAGAAGUUGGUAUUGUAAUUCUUGACUCUUCUAAAUACUAUAAAUGCAAGUGUCUUUGGCCUUUUUGAUGUUUGUUGUUUUUUGAUGCGUUCUCUCCUGCCGUCUUUUGGUUAGGGCAGGCUUGCUUUUUCGUUUUAAAUGUUUGCGGCUGUGAUAACUGCCACUUCUUUUUUGUGCAGUUAAACUUUUAUGUAUCAUGAUUUGUUAUCUCGAUUUUCAUGUCAAUGGGAAUCUUAGGUAAUUUCAACUUGAAAUUAAUAUUGGCAUAUGGGAUGUAUGACUAAUAAAAUUCCCUUAAAAAGAAAAGUUGGUUUUGAGAAUUAAAGUUUUCUUCUUGAGUGUAGCAUUUUUUAUUUGCCCAAAGUCUUUACUCGUAAAACCGUGGGGCAGGCUGAAACCCCAAAAGUCCACUGAAAACAUUUUUGGGGUUGAAAAUGGGACCCUUUUCUCCAGCAAACUUUACUAUUAUACCAACCCACCUAGCAAGGCUAUUACUCUAUUUAAUUUAGUGUAUUAAUUGAGUACAAAUUUGUACUCUUUCAUGUAUUGACAAAACCUUAAGUAACGAAAAUUAGAAUAUUAUUUUACUGCUUAUGGUAUCAUAUUGCCAAUCAAUAAAGAAAAUAGAGAUAAAUAUUUCAAAAUUUUCAGCAUAGUUUACUGCAAUGUUUAAUGAUAGCAUUCUAUUUUAAUUAGGUGCAAGGUCAACAUUUUCAUCUAAUUUUCGAUGGGAUAUCACCAAACCAUUACGCCCAACUUCAAUGCCCCUAAACCAUCCACUAGUGGUAUCCUUGUUCAUAAGAACACUUAUGGCCUCCACAACAAUAUUAAACUGCAUCGCUGACAAAGAGCAUCCUAGAAGCUGUGGGUUUGGCAACCACACAAUCUCCUCAAUGGCAAUAUUUACUUCAAAUGCUUUAAUCCAGGACAAGUAUUGCAUUUUAAUCACAAGAAACUAGUUCCAAUUUAUCCCUGUUUUUCCAUAAAAUAUAUUGUAAUUCCAAAAACUACUAACCGUCUCUUUUAGCAACACCAUUGAUCAUAUUGUCUUGACUUGAUAAAAGAUUCAACGGAGUUUGGUAUCUCGCAUUGGAAUCCCCACCACUCAAAAAUACAGCUCCAUAUAAUCCAAGAAUAGUGGCACGAGAUUGAAAUAUGAACACUGCCCUAAUUCAAAGCCACGUGAACAUAAGUCAUUAUCAUUUUCAAAGUAAAUAUCUGUAGCUCUCAAAAAGCUUGUGGCUGGAAUGUAGUUUAGGAGAGCUAACCAUAAAUUUUGGAGAGGAUAACGUUUUUCCAAACACAUAAACCAUACGUUUUUUUGUCUCCAUAGUUGACUGGCUUCCCAAGACAGCUGUGGCUUUCUCUACAGAAAAUGUUGUUAUCGCAUAAAGACAUAAGCUUCAACUUCAGAGGUCAAAAAUACCUCUCAUAUUCAGAUGGAGACAGCAGAUUUUAAGAGUGAUAUCAUUUUCGUAUAACAUAAUUAAUAUAUUUUAAGAGUAGAAAAAACCCUACAAUUUAUGUAUUAACUUAUGUAUUUAUUGUUCUAGGUUGAAAAGUGAGUCUGUUCAUCUAAUUAUUCUCUAUGGACGUUAUUAUGAUAUUUAGUAGGAUGCUGUUCAGGAAUGUCGUCAAAUUUCUUUUUGAGCGAUGACUAAUUUUUUUUCUUUUUGUAAUUGAGCAGUUUUUUUUUUUUUGCCCAUACUAGAUAUUAUAUACUCCAAACAAUCUUUUGCAAAUCAGCUAGAGACUUGCUGAUGGAAUAUUGGUAACGGUAAUAAAAUUAUUUUUACAAAAAUUGUCAACUUACCUUUUCUUGAAAUUAAUAUUGGCAUAUGGGAUGUAUGACUAAUAAAAUUCCCUUAUAAAGAAAAGUCGGUAUUGAGAAUUAAAGUUUUCUUCUUGAGUGUAGCAUUUUUCAUUUGCCCAAAGUCUUUACUCGUAAAACCGUGGGGCAGGCUGAAACCCCAAAAGUCUACUGAAAACACUUUUGGGGUUGAAAACGGGACCCUUUUCUGCAGCAAACUUUACUAUUAUACGAACCCACCUAGCAAGGCUAUUACUCUAUUUAAUUUAGUGAAUUAAAGGAAGUCAACUUCAAUGCCCCUAAACCAUCCACUAGUGGUAUCCUUGUUCAUAAGAACACUUAUGGCCUCCACAACAACAUUAAACUGCAUCGCUGACAAAGAGCAUCCUAGAAGCUGUGGGUUUGACAACCACCCAAUCUCCUCAAUGGCAAUAUUUACUUCAAAUGCUUUAAUCCAGGACAAGUAUUGCAUUUUAAUCACUAAAAACUAGUUCCAAUUUAUCCUGUUUUUCCAUAAAAAAUAUUGUAAUUCCAAAAUGUUAGGAUAGUCUUGAAUUGUGAUUUAAUUAGAAUUGUUUAAUUCUAAUUAAAUUAGUAUACUUUAUUAAAUAGUCUUUAAAUCUGGUUAGACUAGAAUAAUAAUUUCUAAUUAUAUUAAGAUAAGGUUAUUAUAUUUGACACUAUAAAAGGACCCUAUGGGGUUAAAGAAUAAUAAUCACCUAGAUUUAGAGAGAGUGAUUUAGGUGUACGUAGGAUAAGGGUUGUAAGUUUGAGACUGUUCUUGUAAUCUCCUAAUUUUUCUCUUAGUGAAUUUUUUUCUGUUGUUGUGCCCGUGGACGUAGGUCAUCAAAAGACCGAACCACGUAAAUUCUUGUGUUCUUGUCGGUGUGCUUGAUUUCUUUCUUUUUUUUUUUCUAUUGAUUGGGUUAGAUCUUGGGCAAUUCUUUAGAGAAAAUUCUAUAAUUUUCCAACAAAAUGGUAUCAGAGCUUCAAGGUCUUAAGUCAAUUUGAAUCUCGCUAUGACAACUUCGUCGACCAAGUAUGAGAUUGAAAAGUUUAAUGGAAGAAACGAUUUCAGCUUGUGGCAUGUUAAAAUGCGUGCAUUACUAGUGCAACAAGGACUGUUGAAGGCACUGAAGGGAAAAGAGCAUCUUCCCUCGAAUUUAUCUGAUGGUGAGAAAGAUAACCUUAUGGAAAAAGCACAUAUUGUUAUUCUCUUAGUUUUAUCUGAUAAGGUGCUAAGAGAAGUCACGGAUGAAGAAUCUGCUGCUGCAGUGUGGCUUAAACUCGAAAGUAUUUAUAUGACCAAAUUCCUGACGAAUCGGCUUUAUAUGAAGCAACGAUUAUAUACUCUCAAGAUGAGUGAAGGUAUGUCCGUUAAUAUCACAUUUAUGAAUUGGAUAGAGUUAUUCUUGAUUUAAAUAAUAUCAAUGUUAAAAUUGAGAAUGAAGACCUAGCCUAAUUCUUUUAUGUUCUUUGCCUCUAUCGUAUGAAAACUUCGUGGAUACUAUGUUAUAUGAUCGAGACACUCUCACUUUCGAUGAUGUAAGAGCAUCUUUAAAUUCCAAAGAAUUGAAGAAGAAAGUUGGUGGUAUCCAGAAUGAAAAUCAAGCAGAAGGUUUGGUUGUGAAUAGAGGAAAAAAUAGAGAGAAGGGUAUAGACAGAAAAGGUAAAUCUAAAGCAAAAGGGAAAACUUGCUAGAAUUGUGGUCAGAAAGGACACUUUCAUCAAGACUAUACCAAAUUCAAGGAUGAUGAAAAGAUCAACAAAUCUGUGAAUACUGCAAAUGUGGUUGGAGAUGACUUUGAUACUUUUGAAGAAAUUGAUAAUAUUCUUGCAAUUACCAACGAUAACUUGAUGGAUAUAUGGAUCUUGGAUUUGGCUUGUUGCUUUCAUAUAUGUCCUAGGCGUGAUUCGUUUACAACUUAUCAAUCUGUUGAUAUGGGCACUGUAUAAUUAGGAGAUGAUUUCUCUCUCUCAAUUGUUGGGAUUGGCACAAUUCGAAUCAAGAUGUUUGAUGGUAUGGUAAGAACACUUGAGGUAAAACAUGUCCCUGACAUGAAAAAAAAUUUGAUAUCCUUGAGUUUGUUAGAUAAGAAGGGCUACAAAUAUAGUGGCCAAGAUGGUGUCUUGAAUGUAUCUAAAGGAACCUUAACUAUCAUGAAGGGCAAGUUAUCCGGUGACCUUUAUUGUCUAAUGAGAAACACGUUCAUUGAAACUGUUUCUGUGGUCUCAUCUAAUGAUCCUGAAGAUGAUGUAACACACUUAUGGCAUAUGAGAUUGGGUCAUAUGAGCAAGAGAGGGAUUAAAAAACUGAGUAAGCGUAGUUUGCUGUGUGGUCAAAAGAUUGAAAAGCUAGAUUUCUAUGAGCAACAUAUAGUGAAAUUUAGCACUAUAACUCAUCAAACCAAGAGUACAGUGAACUACAUCCAUUCAUAUUUGUGGGGUCCUUCUUCAGUGGCAUCAAAAGGUGGAUCAUUAUACAUGUGGACCUUUAUUGAUUAUUUUUCAGGAAAAGUGUGGACGUAUCUUCUGAAGGCUAUGAGUGAAGUGUUAACCACCUUUUUGCAUUGUAAGGUAUUGAUCGAGAAGCAAACUAAGAAAAGGAUCGAAAGCUUUCGAACAAACAAAAGUUUAGAAUUUUGCAAAGGUGAGUUUGGUCUAUUCUACAAGAAUGAAAAAAAUCGUUAGACAUUGCACUGUCAUUAAAACACCACAUCAAAACGGUAUCGUAGAAUGGAUGAAGAAAACACUUUUGGAGAGAGCAAAAUACGUGUUCUCUAAUAUUGGCCUAACCAAAUUAUUAACCUUUCCCAGUUUAUAAUUCAAAAAGCUUUGCUUCCAACAAUCUCUUAACCUUGAAGCACCAACCACUAAGAAGGAACUCAAAGCCACUGUCUGGAGUUGUGAUGGUUUUAAAGCCCUAUGACCUAAUGGUUUUAACUUCAACUUCAUUAAGAGUAGUUGGACUUUUAUCAAGAAAGAUCUUUUCGACUUUAUCUCUGACUUCAUGUUCACUGGUAAAUUGGAAAAAGGUUUUAACUCCUCUUUUAUCGCAUUGAUUCCCAAAGUCUAGAGUCCUUCGUCACUCAGUGAAUAUCGGCCCACCAGUCUUGUUAAUUCUCUCUACAAAAUUCUCACCAAGCUUCUCGCCAAUAGGCUUAAGGCAGUUAUAUCCUCGGUAGUCAGUGAUAGUCAAAGUGCCUUUAUUAGCAGCUAUCAAAUCACUGACGGGAUCAUGCUAGCCAAUGAAGUUAUCCAUAGUAUGCGCAAAAAUCUUCACAAUGAGGGUGUAUUGUUCUUAAACUCGACUUUGAGAAGGCUUUUGACCAUGUGGAUUGGGGGUACAUUUCUCUUGUCAUACAGGCUACAGGCUUUGGUCAUCAAUGGUGUAGCUGGUUUUAUGAGUGCAUUUCAAUGGUCUGAGUUUCCAUUCUUGUCAAUGGUUCAGCCACGCCCGAAUUUCCCAUGAAGCACGGCCUUCGACAAGGGGAUCCACUCUCUCCUUUUUUGUUUAUCAUGGUAAUGGAAACUCUUCAUCUUUUUCUAGUAAAGGCUGAAGCGUUGAACUUUAUCGGAGGCAUCACCCUCACUUCUUUCAAAAUUUUUAUCUCUCACCUAUAGUUCGCGGACGAUACCAUUCUGUUCUUGCGUCCUAAUAUUCAGGACGCAAUCAACAUUAGACGCAUUCUGCAGUGCUUUGAGCUAGCCUCUGGUCUCCGUAUUAACUUUCACAAAUCUUGUGUUUAUCUAGUGGGAAUAACGUCUUUUGUGGGUGAAGAAUUCUCUACUGUUCUCCAGUGUCGGACAGGCUCUCUGCCCUUCACGUAUCUUGGUAUUCCCCUUGGUGCUAACCCAAGAAGCAUCUCCACAUGGGAUCCUGUUGUUUCUAACUUUAAAAGGCAACUUGCAUUUUGGCAAAGAAAGUAUCUCUUUCUUGCUAGCAGGAUCACACUAAUCAACUCAGUCUUAAAUUCACUACCUCUUUAUUAUAUCUCUGUCUUUCACCCAUCUAAAGGUGUCAUACACAAGCUCAAGCAACUACGAUGCUCCUUCUUAUGGGGUGGAUCUACGGCUAAGCGCAAGAUGUCCAAAGUCAAUUGGUCCACUAUUUGUAAGCCCAAAAGAUUUGGUGGGUUAGGAAUCUCUAGCCUUUCUCAUAAGAAUCUCGCCUUUCUAGCCAAAUGGUGGUGGCGUUAUGGAACUGAUAAGGAAGCUUUAUGAAGACGUUUGAUUGUUGGUAAAUACGGGAUUGGUGACAGUCAUUGGACUACUUUUGUUUCUAACAUGUCGAGAAUGUCAUCGAUUUGGAAAAGCAUCAUCAAGCUCCCAUCCAAUGAAGGGGUUCAUAACCUGAUUGGUUUUCAUGCUUGGCACUGGAUCGUAGGGGAUGGUACCACUAUCCUCCUAUGGCUUGAUAAAUGGCUUAAGGACCUGCCCCUUUCAUCCAAGUAUCCUCGCCUUUUCUCGUUGGCUACAGAUAAGGACAUUCGAGUCGCUAAUGCCAAGUCUAAUGGGUCCUGGUCUCUUAUUUUCAGACAGGCAUUUUUUUCUUGGGCAAAGUCAAACUAUGAGGAACUUUUGCGUAAACUCUAUUCUAUUUUUCUUGUGCUGGGCAGGAAGGAGAAACUUGUAUGGAAGCAUGACUCUCAAGGGAACUUCUCCGUGAAAACUUUCUGUUCUAGGCUAAAUACCUCUAAUGAUGAUCAUAUGGUAUGGUUUCAAUCUUUAUGGAAUCUAUCUAUCCCUCCUAAACUUUAGUGCUUCCUAUGGCUUGCAGUCCUUAACGCAAUUCCUACAAAGACUUUUCUCUUCUCUCGUGGUGUUCAUUUUAAUUUUGAUCAGCUGUAGUGCAUUUGGUGCAGUCUUGAUAAAAGGACUUGCUUGCACAUCUUUCUCACAUGCAACUUCAGUUGGCUUAUCUGGGGUUUUGUUUUUCGAUGGUGGGGUGUUGAUUGGUGUGUCCCUUCCACCAUUCCCAAUUUUAUUCAAGCUUGGUCCCUUUGUUCAUUCGGUGGUGAUGUUUCUAAAAGAUGGAUGAUCGUUUGUGGCGCUACUUUAUGGUCAUUAUGGCUUGCACGUAAUGAAUCCGUCUUCAAUUCCAAGAUUUAGGAUGGUCUCCAAAUCAUUUUUCUCAUUAAGUUGCACUCUAUGUUUUGGAUUAAAGCAUGUGAAGGCAAUGAUGCCAUUGAUGAAAUUGGUUGGUGGUCUGAUCCACAAAAUUGCUCGUGUCAGAGAACCCCCUUCCACCUUCGACUUGGCAUUUCAUGGUCACCACCUCCCAUUAGCAUGUUCAAAUUUCAUGUUGACGGCUCAACCAGAGGUCAGUUAGGACCUGCUGGUUAUGGUGGGGUUUUGCACAACUCGGACGAUUUUGUACUAGGAUUGUUCUUUACUCCACUCGAUUUACGUGACUCCAAUUAUGCGGAAUUGAUGGGUAUCUUGCAUGCUUUUCACCUCGUUUCUGUCUCCACUUACUCCUAUUCCCAUUUAAUUGUUGAAUUGUAUUCAAGGGUUGCUUUAUCCUGGAUUAAUUGUGUCGAACGAAGACCUUGGGAUAAAUGCACAUCUUCAACGAAAUCGACUCACUACUGCUUUCCGUCGGUAAUGUGUCCUUCACUCAUGUCUUUAGAGAAGGCACUUCAUUCGUUGACUCCUUAGCCAGGUAUGGUACUAAUGUUUCUACUCCCUUCUCUGCUUAGUGGUGAACCCGUAAGUUGCUGUAUGACUCUUAUGCUGCAGUCUUUCUUUAUGCUCCAUUGUUAGUCUUAUUUUUAUGUUGCUUUGAGCUCCCUCUUUAUGUUGAUGUUCUCCUCUUUUUGAUGCUUCUUGUUAGUCUUUUUGUCACAACAACUUGCCAACUGUUGCUUGUAGAUGCUUGUACUUAUUGACCUUUUGGCUUGCAUUCACUGUAGUCUAAGUGAUCUUAAUGAAUAUUUAUUUUGGCUGAGCAAAAAAAAAAAUUUAAGUGUUAACCUUUUAAGUCAAAUCGAUUUGGAUUUAAAUGAAUUGUUUGAAUUCGAAUAAUUUUGAGUUGGUUAUUCGGGUUGUUUGGGUUCAAGUAGUUUUGAGUUCAGAUCAAUUUAAAUUCAAAUUAUUUUGAAUUCAAGUCCUUUUCAACUUUGCAUCUUGCAAGUUCAGAUUGUUGAUUUUAUUUUUGUCAAAAUUAAUUUUAUCGGGUUUGAGUUUGAGGUCAAGAUUAGCUAUGCCAAUUUUAGUUAAAAUUGUUUGUAGUGCAAGGAAAUAUGUAUUUUUUGGGAAAAUUUAAGGAAAGAAAUUUGAAAUAAAUACAUUGUCUCCUCUAAAGUUUAAUGCAAAUAGUGCAUUAAAUGUAAAAACACAUUCUAAAGUAAUAUUUUUAACUAUCUUAUUUUUUUUAAUGAAGAUAGUUUUAUUGGCCUCUCCAACCAGCAUGCCAUUGUAAGUCUCUAACCAAAGCGGAGAAGACUUGCUAUGGCAUAACUAUUUCAUGGUUAAUUUGGGCAAAAUAUAGCCUGUGCAGUUACAAAAUGAUCCUACGACUCAAAAAACGACAUGGGCAUAUACCCACAGAUUUAUAAAAACCGCUAUCAAUAAUCAAAGCUCAACUAAUCCAAGUACCUAACAUUUGCCUUCUAUCUUUUCAACAUAAAUUUUAAUCGAUGCCUAUUUAACAAUUCCACUGGCCCUUGUAGCGAGGGCUUUUCACCUACCCCCUUUAUAUCUUUUAGUUUACAAUUUUACAAUUUACAAAUUUAAUUAUUUAGAGAUAUUAUUAAUUUUUACAACGUAAAAGGGUUCUCAUACCCCGAGGAAUAGUUUAGUAAGAGCAAUUUUGUUUUUCCUAAAAAAAAUUGUAGGAGAAGAAGAAGUUUGGUAACAACGACUUCCUGCCUCUUACCAACCUUGUUGCUGCCGUGAUUAGGACCAAGAAGUCUUGUUGUAUACAUAGGAACAAGCCAUUACCAUUUCCUUCAUAUCCUUUCCACUCUAACUGCAAUAUAUUGGUGAUCAAUUCCUGAAUCUAACUAAUUAUUUCCAUUCUCCACGAUAUGGAUCCGAGGUUGAGGGAGGCUGCUCAAACAGGAGAUUUUAACUACUUCUACUCACUAAUCGAGGAAAACGCAAGCGUUUUGGAGGACAUUGAUACAGAGUCUUUUGCUGAGACUCCAUUACAUGUAGCGGCUUCUGCAGGGCAAAUUGCUUUCGCCGUAGAGAUGAUGAAUUUAAAGCCGUCGUUUGCGAGGACGCUGAACCAAGCUGGGCUUAGCCCCAUGCACGUAGCUUUACAAAACGAAAAAACCCUUUUUGUACAUCGACUCCUAGAGAUGGAUAAAGAUCUCGUUCGCGUCAAAGGCAGG